Molecule: ribosomal RNA, 238 nt
Filed under: uncultured bacterium
Lineage: Bacteria
Description: partial 16S ribosomal RNA
Rfam family: Bacterial small subunit ribosomal RNA
Source: RNAcentral
GGCGGACGGGUGAGUAACGCGUGGGUAACCUGCCUCAUACAGGGGGAUAACAGUUAGAAAAUGACUGCUAAUACCGCAUAAGACCACGGUACCGCAUGGUACAGUGGUAAAAACUCCGGUGGUAUGAGAUGGACCCGCGUCUGAUUAGGUAGUUGGUGGGGUAACGGCCUACCAAGCCGACGAUCAGUAGCCGACCUGAGAGGGUGACCGGCCACAUUGGGACUGAGACACGGCCCAG